Molecule: small RNA, 159 nt
Filed under: bovine gut metagenome
Description: Clostridiales-1 RNA
Rfam family: Clostridiales-1 RNA
Source: RNAcentral
GAUAACAGUGCACGAAGUCAAACGUCCACGUUGCGCUUGCGCAAACGUGGACGGGCGACUUCGGGCACGCCCCUGCAUGAGCAUGAAGCGGUGCGUUAGCAGCGCGGGAAUGCGAAUGCAGGGGAGGAGCGUGAGAGCGCGAAGCGCGGAACGCUCCGU